GGACGAACGCUGGCGGCGUGCUUAACACAUGCAAGUCGAACGGAAAGGCCCUGCUUUUGUGGGGUGCUCGAGUGGCGAACGGGUGAGUAACACGUGAGUAACCUGCCCUUGACUUUGGGUUAACUUCAGGAAACUGGGGCUAAUACCGGAUAGGAGCUCCUGCUGCAUGGUGGGGGUUGGAAAGUUUCGGCGGUUGGGGAUGGACUCGCGGCUUAUCAGCUUGUUGGUGGGGUAGUGGCUUACCAAGGCUUUGACGGGUAGCCGGCCUGAGAGGGUGACCGGCCACAUUGGGACUGAGAUACGGCCCAGACUCCUACGGGAGGCAGCAGUGGGGAAUAUUGCACAAUGGGCGGAAGCCUGAUGCAGCAACGCCGCGUGCGGGAUGACGGCCUUCGGGUUGUAAACCGCUUUCGCCUGUGACGAAGCGUGAGUGACGGUAAUGGGUAAAGAAGCACCGGCUAACUACGUG
This 469-nucleotide ribosomal RNA is filed under the name uncultured bacterium. RNAcentral describes it as "partial 16S ribosomal RNA". It matches the Rfam family "Bacterial small subunit ribosomal RNA", at positions 27 to 507 of the family's 1533-position model. The record is from RNAcentral.